Molecule: ribosomal RNA, 130 nt
Filed under: Reddellomyces westraliensis
Lineage: Eukaryota; Fungi; Ascomycota; Pezizomycetes; Pezizales; Tuberaceae
Description: partial 28S ribosomal RNA
Rfam family: Eukaryotic large subunit ribosomal RNA
Source: RNAcentral
UUGACCUCGGAUCAGGUAGGGAUACCCGCUGAACUUAAGCAUAUCAAUAAGCGGAGGACAAGAAACCAACAGGGAUUGCCUCAGUAACGGCGAGUGAAGCGGCAAGAGCUCAAAUUUGAAAUCUGGCGCC